AAGCCGCGAAUCCUCUUGAAAGAGAGGGGUGCCCUCAGGAAUGUGGACAUAGCUGGUGCAUGGCUGCCGCCAGCUCAUGCCGUAAGGUGUUGGGUUAAGUCUCGCAACGAGCGCAACCCUCGUGUUUAGUUGUCACUAUGAGUUUGGAACUCUUAACAAACCACGGUGUUAUAACAAGCCUCUAGCUCUUAU
RNAcentral lists this non-coding RNA (192 nucleotides) under Triticum aestivum (bread wheat). Its description in RNAcentral is "Bacterial small subunit ribosomal RNA". It matches the Rfam family "Bacterial small subunit ribosomal RNA", at positions 986 to 1162 of the family's 1533-position model. RNAcentral also lists the same sequence under 1 other name. Lineage: Eukaryota; Viridiplantae; Streptophyta; Magnoliopsida; Poales; Poaceae. The record is from Rfam by way of RNAcentral.